GCGCCAGCCUCAGCAGCACUAAGACUGGAAUGAUACAGAGAAGGUUGGCAUACUCACCCUUGUACAAGAAUGGCAUGCAAAUUCCUAAAGCAUUCAGUAGUAUU
Molecule: small nuclear RNA, 104 nt
Filed under: Mus pahari (shrew mouse)
Lineage: Eukaryota; Metazoa; Chordata; Mammalia; Rodentia; Muridae
Description: snRNA (MGP_PahariEiJ_G0033230.1)
Source: RNAcentral